Long non-coding RNA from Schistocerca serialis cubense, 681 nucleotides. RefSeq lists it as uncharacterized. The record is from RefSeq and is a predicted model, not a curated record. The transcript is spliced from 2 exons. NCBI's taxonomy places the organism in Eukaryota, Metazoa, Arthropoda, Insecta, Orthoptera, Acrididae.
GAUAAGAAAGCAAACAGCCAGCAGAUACAAACGAAGGUCUGUGUAGGGACUCAUGAUAAGCAGUCAAUUAAGAAGUAUCAGCAGUAAGCAUUCCUGGCUAGAGAGAGAGGUCUGGGAGUGGAGAGAGAAAGAAAGAGGGCCCUUGGUGGGGACAGCACUACGUCAUGAGGAGCCAAUGAAGGGCUCAGGACGCAGUGCAUGACCAUAUAGGGAGAGGCGUCUCUAUCCCUCCACUCAGCCUCUGAAGAACAAUAGCAACAUUAAUGUUUUAACGAUACCAAAUAAGGACAAGUUGCCUUCGACGCUACGUCAUGCCAAGCGCUGGCGGGGUCGAAGGGGAAACGCUAACAAAACCCAAGAGCACGCGGCUCUGAGGGUCUUGUCGGGUCUUGUCUUGCGGUUCUUCUUGUCGAGUAGUUAGAGAGUGAUAGCAGCAGCCGACUUGGGCUGAGGGACGGGCUGUAGGCAGGCAGCCAGAGAUGGUCGCUGGAGAGCGUUAGGGCGUAGCCGCGGGACUCUAACGUAUGGUGCUAGGAAAUAUUGCAGAGCUUCUAGUAGGCAGUCGGAACGGUGGAGUCAGUCACUGUCUCUGUAUUAGACUUGGCCUUCCUGUGAAUGCAAUCACCGCGCAGUUAGGGUGAGCUGUAUUCAUUCAGAAUAAACUGCAAUUUGUUAAAGUUA